Molecule: non-coding RNA, 2741 nt
Organism: Ciona intestinalis (vase tunicate)
Lineage: Eukaryota; Metazoa; Chordata; Ascidiacea; Phlebobranchia; Cionidae
Source: RefSeq, a predicted model, not a curated record
AUCAGUUUUAUCUAUAAAAUAUUAGUCUUUAAUAUAUCUGUUCCGUAUUUAGACCUAUUAGGCAGGUGUGUCAGUAACCAAAAAUGAGUGUGGUAUUGGUAACCAUCAUAGAAUGAUUUCCUGCAGUGCAAGAAUUAAACCAAGCGUUUAAAGAUAUAAUAUGAAUUAAAAUGUAUGACCGUGGUUAGGAAAGACCAGAGCCAGGCUCUGGGAAAGACUGAGCUUCCAGGUAAUAUAAUAUGUUUUUAUUCAAAGGGCAGCAAUAUGCGAGGCUCAUUUUGAUAAAAGUGACAUAGACAGAUCCAAGAAAGUUACAAAAUUAAGAGUUGGAGCUUUACCUUGUUAUAACUGACCUAAGGAAAGCUGAUAUUAUAAGCCACCCAGAAAAUUGCCAGCAAAAAGAGUAUUUCUUGAAAAGAUGCACCAUACCAGCCUUAAAGAUUUGGAAACGUCUGCCAAAAAAUUGUCUGAUGUUAUGAAAGGUUAGUUGUUAAUGCUCCUCUGUGGCAAAAAAUAAUAAAAAAUAAAGUAAUUUAUGCCACAAUCAUUUAAUAUUAUAUCUGAACAUCCGCUACCACUAUAAACUUUGUUUUGUGUUUCAGAGUGAUAUUCUCCUGUUCAACCAAAGUUGAAGUUUGCUGUUUAAAUAUUUUAUGGGUGGCCAGUAGAUGUUGCCAAAUUACAACUUGAUGUAACAUCACAGACCUUGUUUUAACCUUUUAUGUUAUAUAGAGAGAGCCUCCAGAUCUACAUUGGAUUACAUAACACACAAAUACCAGAAUGUGCAACCAACAACCAUUCAGUUCUAUUUUGGAAAGAUGGCCAUGUCAUAGAAUUACACGAUCCGCUCACUUAAUUGUGCAUUAUUUUGUGAUGAUAUUGGUUUUACCACCUGCAGUGAAUGCACUAAUAAAUCUUCAGCACCAACCGCGACCGCAUGCCCAGGAACUAGUACACAAGAUACAAAUGUAUUUCAAAUCAAUGAGGUACCAUUCUUGAAUAUACAACAAAUAUCUGAACAAUAAACGUUCUUUUUAUAUUUUUGAACACUUAUGAAGUCUUUAUAAUUAAAGCCCAUUCAACAGACUGCAUUAGUUCGUGAAACCCAGCCAGAUAUGACUGACAGUACAGUUCCAGAAGAAGUUGAUCUACCAACUUUUAAGACAAUUUUCGCAACAAAUGAAAAUGAUCUUAAUGAGUGGCAAAGAAUGUUUUUAGAUCAGCAAAGAAAAAAUGCAGCAGUUACACCAACAGGCCAUCGUUUUCACCCUGACUUGGUACGUUGGGCUAUUGAGCUAUUUACAAAAUCUCCAGCUGCAUAUCUACACUUACAGAAAAGCGGAGUUUUAUCAUUACCUUCACGCGGUACGAUUUCAGCUUACAGGAAUAUUAUAUCACCAUCACCUGGGUUGAACAAGAAAGCUCUUGAAGAAAUGGAUAGAGUAACGAAGCAAACUUCGCACCUUGCAGCAUAUAUCACUAUGGAUGAGAUGAAAAUCAAAGAAAAUUUAGUCAUUCGUAAUGGGAAGCUUGUUGGUUUUAUUGACUUUGGGGAUCAGCUGGUAAGCUGGUAAAUAGUGCAUCAACUCUAGCAAGUCAUAUUUUAGUAUUCUACUUUCGUUCAGCCAAAAGUGAAAUUUCCAUACCUCUAGCAUGGUAUCCAACCAAGUCAGCAGAAGCUCAUGUGCUUGCAGUUAUGUUCUGGAAUUUACUAUGGGAAUGCGAGUCCAGAAAUGUGCAGAUUCAUGCUGUGGUCUGUGAUGGUCAUCCAUCAAAUAGAAAGUUUUAUAAACUAAUAUGCUCUUCACCAUUCAACAUUAAUGAGCCGUAUUUAGCAAAUAAUCUGUAUGAUGCAAAAAAACCAAUACUGUUAUGCUCAGUUCCUUCAUUUACUAAAGACUGCUUGUAACUCUUUGUACUCUUCCAAACCUGGUGGUAGCAAGUACAUGAACAAAAAUGGAAAAGAUAUUCUAUGGACACAUAUACAGCAACUGUUCAAACAGGAUACUGCAUCCAUGUUGUUAAAACGAUGCCGUGUGCCCACAUGGGAACUGAACUCUUACACAAAGAUGAAAGUCAGUCUGGCAAGAGAAGUAUUACGCUGGAAUGUAGGACAAUGUUUGAAAUCUUUUUCUCUUGCUGAUGGAACUGCUGAGUUUGUAUUGUUAUUUGCAAGGUGGCUGACAGUGUGAAACAUUUAAUCAAAAAAAUCUCUUACAAUUUCUGCAUCUUAAACAGGUGGUUUGAAAUAAUGAAUUGUGGGCAUCACAAUUUUAUUACAUCAACAAGUGAUUCACGGCUAACUUGGUUGGAAGAUGUUUUUCUUGUUUACCUGAUUCAAUGGAAGGUUCUAAACACCUACGACCCCGGGGAUGUGUUAUAGCAUUCAGAAACCUCAUCACAUGGCCACUGACUCAAUUUACCGACAGGGACAUAUGAACUGUUUCCACUAAUAAUAAAAAAUAACUAUUUUGUUUUCUCCUCAGUUUACGUUCCAGAUGACGAUGGAAAUGCUCCUUAUCCUCAGCUGGUGCAACACCUGAUCACCCAUAGUUCACUGAACAACAUCAUUGUCAAUAUUGACAAGGAUGCGUACUCUCAUCAAACUUUCUGGGGAAGUAUGAGAUCCUGACAGUGCGUAAUGUAGGAACAUUGCAUGUUAAUUCUCAAUACUGCACCAAUAUUUCGCAAUAUUGCAUCAUGUCAUGUACUCGUGACAAACUAUCCAUCAUUUUAACAAG